UGGGGAAUAUUGCACAAUGGGCGCAAGCCUGAUGCAGCCAUGCCGCGUGUAUGAAGAAGGCCUUCGGGUUGUAAAGCACUUUCAGCGGGGAGGAAGGCGGUGAGGUUAAUAACCUCAUCGAUUGACGUUACCCGCAGAAGAAGCACCGGCUAACUCCGUGCCAGCAGCCGCGGUAAUACGGAGGGUGCAAGCGUUAAUCGGAAUUACUGGGCGUAAAGCGCACGCAGGCGGUUGAUUGAGUCAGAUGUGAAAUCCCCGGGCUUAACCCGGGAAUUGCAUCUGAUACUGGUCAGCUAGAGUCUUGUAGAGGGGGGUAGAAUUCCAUGUGUAGCGGUGAAAUGCGUAGGGAUGUGGAGGAAUACCGGUGGCGAAGGCGGCCCCCUGGACAAAGACUGACGCUCAGGUGCGAAAGCGUGGGGAGCAAACAGG
Molecule: ribosomal RNA, 429 nt
Filed under: Chloroflexota bacterium
Lineage: Bacteria; Bacillati; Chloroflexota
Description: Chloroflexi bacterium partial 16S ribosomal RNA
Rfam family: Bacterial small subunit ribosomal RNA
Source: RNAcentral